CCUACGGGAGGCAGCAGUGGGGAAUAUUGCACAAUGGGGGAAAGCCUGAUGCAGCGACGCCGCGUGAGUGAAGAAGUACUUAGGUAUGUAAAGCUCUAUCAGCAGGGAAGAAAAUGACGGUACCUGAUUAAGAAGCGCCGGCUAACUACGUGCCAGCAGCCGCGGUAAUACGUAGGGGGCAAGCGUUAUCCGGAUUUACUGGGUUUAAAGGGAGCGUAGAGGGAAGCACAAGUCUGGGGUGAAAGGCCGGGGCUUAACCCCGGAACUGCUUUGGAAACUGUGCAGGUUGAGUGCAGGAGAGGUAGGUGGAAUUCCUGGUGUAGCGGUGAAAUGCGUAGAUAUUAGGAGGAACACCAGUGGCGAAGGCGGCUUACUGGACUGUAACUGACGUGGAGGCUCGAAAGCGUGGGGAGCAAACAGGAUUAGAUACCCCAGUAGUC
Molecule: ribosomal RNA, 440 nt
Filed under: uncultured bacterium
Lineage: Bacteria
Description: partial 16S ribosomal RNA
Rfam family: Bacterial small subunit ribosomal RNA
Source: RNAcentral